UACGUAGGGGGCAAGCGUUGUCCGGAAUCAUUGGGCGUAAAGAGCGCGUAGGCGGCCCAGUAAGUCCGCUCUGAAAGUCAGGGGCUCAACCCCUGGAUGCGGGUGGAUACUGCUGGGCUAGAGUCCGGAAGAGGCGAGUGGAAUUCCUGGUGUAGCGGUGAAAUGCGCAGAUAUCAGGAGGAACACCGAUGGCGAAGGCAGCUCGCUGGGACGGUACUGACACUGAUGCGCGAAAGCGUGGGGAGCAAACAGG
This 253-nucleotide ribosomal RNA is filed under the name uncultured bacterium. Its description in RNAcentral is "partial 16S ribosomal RNA". It matches the Rfam family "Bacterial small subunit ribosomal RNA", at positions 524 to 776 of the family's 1533-position model. The record is from RNAcentral.